GAAGGGGGAAGCAAGCGUUAUCCGGAAUCACUGGGCGUAAAGCGUCUGUAGGUGGUGAUGCAAGUCACUGGUGCAAAACUCUGGCUCAACCGGAGGAAAGCCAGUGAAACUGCAUGACUAGAGUGUGGGAGAGGUAGAAGGAAUUCCCUGAGUAGCGGUGAAAUGCGUAGAUACAGGGAAGAACACCGGAGGCGAAAGCGUUCUACUGGAACACAACUGACACUGAGAGAAGAAAGCUAGGGGAGCGAAUGGG
RNAcentral lists this ribosomal RNA (253 nucleotides) under uncultured bacterium. Its description in RNAcentral is "partial 16S ribosomal RNA". It matches the Rfam family "Bacterial small subunit ribosomal RNA", at positions 524 to 776 of the family's 1533-position model. The record is from RNAcentral.